GAUGAAGAACGUAGUGAAAUGCGAUAAGUAAUGUGAAUUGCAGAAUUCAGUGAAUCAUCGAAUCUUUGAACGCACAUUGCGCCCGCCAGUAUUCUGGCGGGCAUGCCUGUUCGAGCGUCGUUUCAACCAUCAAGCCCUGCUUGCGUUGGGGUCCUGCGGCUGCCCGCAGGCCCUGAAAACCAGUGGCGGGCUCGCUAGUCACACCGAGCGCAGUAAUACAUCUCGCUUUGGGCGUGCGGCGGGUUCUUGCCGUUAAACACCCCCUUUUUACCAAGGUUGACCUCGGAUCAGGUAGGAAUACCCGCUGAACUUAAGCAUAUCAAUAAGCGGAGGA
This 334-nucleotide unclassified non-coding RNA is filed under the name soil metagenome. RNAcentral's name for it is "partial contains 5.8S ribosomal RNA, internal transcribed spacer 2, and large subunit ribosomal RNA". The stretch from base 1 to 120 matches the Rfam family "5.8S ribosomal RNA", at positions 35 to 154 of the family's 154-position model. The record is from RNAcentral.